Molecule: ribosomal RNA, 517 nt
Filed under: Paenibacillaceae bacterium CL1.54
Lineage: Bacteria; Bacillati; Bacillota; Bacilli; Caryophanales; Paenibacillaceae
Description: bacterial SSU rRNA
Rfam family: Bacterial small subunit ribosomal RNA
Source: RNAcentral
UUGAGCUUGAUCCCUGGCUCAGGACGAACGCUGGCUGCGUGCCUUAAUACAUGCAAGUCGAGCGGAGUUGAUGAGAUGCUUGCAUCUAUGAUAAUUAGCGGCGGACGGGUGAGUAACACGUGGGUAACCUGCCUUUAAGACUGGGAUAACAUUCGGAAACGGAUGCUAAUACCGGAUAGGCGAUUUGGUCGCAUGAUCGAAUCGAGAAAGAUGGAGCAAUCUAUCACUUAGAGAUGGACCCGCGGCGCAUUAGCUAGUUGGUGAGGUAACGGCUCACCAAGGCGACGAUGCGUAGCCGACCUGAGAGGGUGAUCGGCCACACUGGGACUGAGACACGGCCCAGACUCCUACGGGAGGCAGCAGUAGGGAAUCUUCCGCAAUGGACGAAAGUCUGACGGAGCAACGCCGCGUGAGUGAUGAAGGUUUUCGGAUCGUAAAGCUCUGUUGCCAGGGAAGAACGCUUGGGAUAGUAACUGCUCCCAAGGUGACGGUACCUGAGAAGAAAGCCCCGGCUAAC